UUCCUACGGGAGGCAGCAGUGAGGAAUAUUGGUCAAUGGGCGGGAGCCUGAACCAGCCAAGCCGCGUGAGGGAAGAAGGUACAGCGUAUCGUAAACCUCUUUUGUCAGGGAACAAAGGCGGGGACUAGUCCCCGGAUGAGGGUACCUGAAGAAAAAGCAUCGGCUAACUCCGUGCCAGCAGCCGCGGUAAUACGGAGGAUGCGAGCGUUAUCCGGAUUUAUUGGGUUUAAAGGGUGCGCAGGCGGAAUGUCAAGUCAGCGGUAAAAUUUCGGGGCUCAACCCCGUCGUGCCGUUGAAACUGGCGU
This 305-nucleotide ribosomal RNA is filed under the name uncultured bacterium. RNAcentral describes it as "bacterial SSU rRNA". It matches the Rfam family "Bacterial small subunit ribosomal RNA", at positions 336 to 639 of the family's 1533-position model. The record is from RNAcentral.